AGAUUAAGUUAGAAAGGGCGCACGGUGGAUGCCUUGGCACUAGGAGCCGAUGAAGGACGGGACUAACACCGAUAU
This 75-nucleotide ribosomal RNA is filed under the name Klebsiella pneumoniae. Its description in RNAcentral is "partial 23S ribosomal RNA". The record is from RNAcentral. Lineage: Bacteria; Pseudomonadati; Pseudomonadota; Gammaproteobacteria; Enterobacterales; Enterobacteriaceae.